AUCCAGUUAAGGAGUCCCAAAUAGGAUGAGACGCGCGUCCAGGAU
Molecule: non-coding RNA, 45 nt
Organism: Schistosoma haematobium
Lineage: Eukaryota; Metazoa; Platyhelminthes; Trematoda; Strigeidida; Schistosomatidae
Source: Rfam